GUAGGGCAUGCCGAGCACCAGUUCGCUCGUAAAUCCACUGGAAAAAAUAUAAACGCCAACGACGAGCGUUUCGCUCUGGCCGCUUAAGCGGUGAGCCGCUGCACUAGUUUGUCUUUGGGCUAGGUAGGGAAACCUACAGCAGCGUCAUAUACAAGGAAUCGGCAUUAGCUGGGUUACGAAGUUAAUGCUUAAAUCUUAGUGACUCGCCAAGGAAGGGCCCGUCAGCCGGCAUGAUCCGAGGUUAAAAUUUUAAAAUGGGUUGACUAAGCAUGUAGAACUGC
This 281-nucleotide transfer-messenger RNA is filed under the name Pusillimonas sp. It matches the Rfam family "transfer-messenger RNA", at positions 40 to 325 of the family's 374-position model. From Rfam's summary of the family: Bacterial tmRNA, also known as 10Sa RNA or SsrA, is named for its dual tRNA and mRNA-like properties. Its role is to liberate the mRNA from a stalled ribosome. Lineage: Bacteria; Pseudomonadati; Pseudomonadota; Betaproteobacteria; Burkholderiales; Alcaligenaceae. The record is from RNAcentral.